AGAGUUUGAUCCUGGCUCAGGAUGAACGCUGGCGGCGUGCCUAAUACAUGCAAGUCGAGCGAGAAUCAGUUGAUCGGAGAUUCGUCAAAGUGAAGCUGAGGAAAGCGGCGGACGGGUGAGUAACGCGUAGGCAACCUGCCCCUGGCAGAGGGAUAGCCAUUGGAAACGAUGAUUAAAACCUCAUAACGCUUUCGAGACACAUGUCUUGAGAGCCAAAGAUUUAUCGGCUGGGGAUGGGCCUGCGUCUGAUUAACUAGUUGGUGAGGUAACGGCCCACCAAGGUGACGAUCAGUAGCCGACCUGAGAGGGUGAUCGGCCACAUUGGAACUGAGACACGGUCCAAACUUCUACGGAAGGCAGCAGUAAGGAAUCUUGCACAAGUGGGGGAAACCCUGAAUGCAGCAACGCCGCGUGAACGAUGAAGGCCUUCGGGUUGUAAAGUUCUGAUCUUGGGGAAGAAGAAAGUGACGGUACCCAAGGAGAAAGCCCCGGCUAACUACGUGCCAGCAGCAGC
Molecule: ribosomal RNA, 514 nt
Filed under: uncultured bacterium
Lineage: Bacteria
Description: bacterial SSU rRNA
Rfam family: Bacterial small subunit ribosomal RNA
Source: RNAcentral